AUUGACUGGGAUUGAUGUGGAUAAAGGACUGGAACUAACAUAUGCUGGGACCAUCUAACGUGCCAGGCCUGGGGAGAUGGAGGCACCAAGACGACCUGAUUUUGUCGAACACUUUGCAAACUCAACACCAAGGUGAAGUCAGCUCGAGGGGAGUCGGAAGAAGUUUUAGCUCCUCAGGUGACUCUCACAUACAGCUGAUGCUGAGGACCAGCCUAAACCAGCGGGUUGAAGUCCGCCGUGUCCAGGGCACUUCCUGUUCUGAGCGGCCCAGCGCCCCAGAAGCCCAGAGCCGACUGCCCCCGGGAGCGCUCCAUUCUUCUUGUCAGAGGGGGCUGUCUGAAGCAACAUGAGUAGGAACGGAAUAAGGCCCGAGAAAGCACAAAUGGGUUAACAAAGCUGAUCUUUUAACCAGUUUAUUGUAUUUUUACAGUAAUAAAAAUAAAUUAGUCAUACACAAAAAUAGUCGUCAUUUUGGCUGAAGAGAAAACAGACUGUAUUUACUCACAUAAUUCACCUUCUAUCCUCCUUAAACAAUAAUUUAACACCACAAGGGUGACAUGGAGUCGCUGGAGCAUCAGAGGGUUCCUUGCUCCGGGCUGUGCAGUUGCCAGGACAACUCAGAGCUCCACCCCAGCAGUCCCAUUGGGGACCCUGGAGGCGUGGGCAGAGCGCGAAACACCUCCCCUCCCUUCCAGCCCCUCCCCGUCCCUUCCAGCCCCUCCCCGUCCCUUCCAGCCCCCUCCCGCCCUUCCAGCCCCUCCCCGGCC
RNAcentral lists this long non-coding RNA (767 nucleotides) under Equus asinus (donkey). RNAcentral's name for it is "lncRNA (ENSEASG00005035227.1)". Lineage: Eukaryota; Metazoa; Chordata; Mammalia; Perissodactyla; Equidae. The record is from RNAcentral.